Long non-coding RNA from Gasterosteus aculeatus aculeatus (three-spined stickleback), 1778 nucleotides. The record is from Ensembl. NCBI's taxonomy places the organism in Eukaryota, Metazoa, Chordata, Actinopteri, Perciformes, Gasterosteidae.
CCUGACUCAUGCACUAAGCUACAGUGUCUGUUAAAUCCAUAAUGCGGAUAUCACAGUCGCUGAGCGGGCUCUGGAGCAGCACAGAGUAUAUCUCCCUUUUUUGAACCUGAUUGCUGCAUUACUUAUACGCAGAGUGGAAGACCGCAGGCUGCCACGUCUUUCCACCAUUAUGGUGAUACUGACGACAGUGACAGAGAGCCUGCACCCAAGAAGGCCCCAACACCAUCAAUACGGCCGUCUUCAGGACCGUCAUUACCAUCACGAUCAACCAACUCCGUGGCCAUCCUACUUCGCCCAACCUCCAUUACCACCACCUCCAGGGCCAUCCUCAUUUUCUCCACUUCCACCACGCUCCCCUUCAAGGCCCCCCUCAGUUUCUACACCUCAUCAGCAGUUAUUCCAACCUCCUUACACCUGUUCAUCUCAGGACAACUACAUCGAUCCAUCUCCGUGCCAUCCACCUCCCGGGAUGUCCUCUGAUGGCUUAGCUAGUUAGAGAUAGAGCCACCGUAUUUAUGCCCAGCCUGAAUAUGGGGCGUUCUGGGAAGGACCCAAUAAUCUGCACACCUGCUGAGCUCCACAUGCUGACACUAAUGGAGAACACGAAGCAACAGCUAAACCAGCUUUCAAUAAAUAUGAUCACGGCCGGAGCAGCAGCCGCUGAGCCUGUUGUGAGGAGAUCUCCUUCCCCCUGGACUCCUCGAGGGGGUUGAUAACUUUGAAGACUGGUUGAAAAACGCAGGCAACACAGCCAAAAAACAGCACUUAUAUAACAUUAAUCUGUCUAAUAACACUUGGUAUUCACAUGGUAUUCAUGCUGUUUUUUGUUGUCAAUGGGCAUCACAAUAAGAUUUGUCAGGGUACCCGGUGAUAUCCCUUGGGCCUUUUAAUAUAUUUUAUAUAUAUAUAUAUAUAUAUAUAUACAUACACACAUUUUCCCAUUGGAAUUAAUGUGAUUUCUGUAAAUUUAGAGGUUUUAUUAAAGGUUUAUAGCUGACAUAUUUUAGCCUGUCCCAUUAGGGGGAAAUUGAUACAACCAUAUAAACCUAAAAUAUUCCCUCAAGAUUUAUGACAUGAGAUAUGUUGUACUCAUUGCUAUGUUCCCCUUACCAUCGUUUAUCAAUCUGUUACCUCUCACUAAUUUAGUGUCUUGUUUCCACAGGGGGGGAUGCUGGCCUCCAUUGGGGGAAGAGAUACCAAACACAUUGUCUUUAACAUUUUGGCCGACAGUGUAGCCAAAUCAAUAAAUUGGAAAGGGAUGAACAAUAAAAAGAAAUUCAGUGAGAUAGGAACCAAAACCAUCAUGGCUCGAGCAGUGAGGAAGAAUCGGCUUUCGAACAAAGCCACAGACACCGAAAUGAAUCAAAUAGCCAUCAGAUGGUUUAAUCUGGCUUGCGCCCGUGGGGGGGCUCGCCGUGCCCGGUCACAACCAACUGAGAUGCAGUGAUCACAUCAGGUUUUGUUCUUUAUAUUUUUACUGUUACUGUUUAUGACAUUUUAUACCUCCACACACACACACACUUUUUUUUCUGCAUGCACACACACACGUACACGCUGUUCAUGCUGUAAGUGCUCUUUUGCCUUAUUUAAAUAAAAAACUAUUUUGAAAAUUACAGAUUGUGUGGGUAUUUGUUUGGGCUAUCACAGACCAGAGCCAGGUGAGCCCCAGAUGUCAAAUAUGAGUCGCGGAUUUGGGCCAGAUCCGUACCACACGUCAUGGGGUUAAUAACUGUACUGGGCCAGUGCAAAUCUGCACAGUGAGUGUGACUGCUGCGCGG